RNAcentral lists this ribosomal RNA (2139 nucleotides) under Triticum aestivum (bread wheat). Its description in RNAcentral is "partial small subunit ribosomal RNA". The record is from RNAcentral. Lineage: Eukaryota; Viridiplantae; Streptophyta; Magnoliopsida; Poales; Poaceae.
AUGUUGCAUGGCGUCGAUUCGCGUGCUCAUGCAUGGUCACCCGACGAGCCCGUCGCGCCGAGCAUCUCCACUGCUCGGUCCGCUACGCCAGCGAUCGCCGAGUUUCCAGCGGCUCGGCCUUUUUCGCCAGCGGCCGCCGAGUCGCCCGCGGCUCGACCCGUCACGCCGUCUUCGCCUGCGGCUCGGCCCGUCACGCCGUCUUCGCCCGCGGCUCGGGUCCUCAUGUCGCCUUCAUCCGCGGAUCGGCCCGCGACACCGGCCGCGCCACGGCCCACUAUGCCGAGCUCGCCAACGGCCCGGUCUGUGAUGCCGGAGUCACCAGCUGCUUCGUCUGCUCUGCCGGUUUCGCCGGUGGGCCGGCCUUCUUCGUCGACCGAGUCCGAGGCUACCGUGACUGGCUCCUCGUCACCGGCUGACUCGUCAACGUCGCCGUCCUCCAGCCCGUUGCAGGCUGCUCCGUCGACCUCGGUGGUUCCUGUGUCCCGACCACAUACACGCAGUCGCAGUGGCAUUUUCAAACCUAAGGAACGUAAGGAUGGUACGGUUGCUUGGUUGGCUGCUUGUUUGACUGCUGCUGUUGCGGAUCCAUCUUCUGAGCCUCGCUCAUAUCAGGCUGCCCUGCGCAUUCCACAUUGGCGAGAGGCUAUGGAGCAGGAGUUUCAUGCUCUUCUUCGUAACAAGACAUGGACUCUCGUUCCUCCACCACCACGGGUAAAUGUUAUUGACUCAAAAUGGGUAUUCAAAGUGAAGAAGCAUUCGGAUGGAUCUAUUGAGCGUUACAAAGCACGACUUGUUGCUCGCGGUUUUCGGCAGCGUCAUGGUCUUGACUAUGAGGACACCUUCAGUCCUGUCGUCAAGCCUACCAUUAUUCGGCUUCUUCUCUCCAUUGCUGUUUCUCGUGGUUGGUCACUUCGUCAACUUGAUGUGCAGAAUGCUUUUCUACAUGGAUUUUUGGAGGAAGAGGUUUAUAUGAAACAGCCGCCUGGUUUCUCUGAUCCUGAUCGUCCUGACUAUAUCUGUCGUCUUUCCAAAGCACUAUAUGGUUUGAAGCAAGCUCCUCGUGCCUGGCAUGCCCGCCUUGCCUCUGCCCUUCGUGCUCAUGGGUUUGUGCCGUCCACUGCUGACACUUCAUUAUUUCUUCUACAGAAGCCAGAAGUCACUAUGUACCUUUUGGUAUAUGUCGAUGAUAUUAUCCUUGUCAGCUCUUCUCAGUAUGCUGCUAAUGCUCUUGUCUGCUCUCUUGGUGCUGAUUUUGCGGUCAAAGAUCUUGGGAAGCUUCACUACUUUCUUGGAGUUGAGGUCACUUCUCGUGCUACUGGUCUUGUCCUUACGCAGAAGAAGUACUCCUUGGAGUUGUUACAAAGAGCUGGCAUGCUGAAGUGCAAACCGACCACCACACCCAUGUCGUCUACCGACAAGAUAACAGUUGUUGAUGGUGAGCUUUUGUCUCCUGCGGAUGCCACAGAGUACAGGAGCAUUGUUGGUGGACUUCAGUACUUGACGAUCACGAGACCAGAUAUCUCUUAUGCUGUUAACAGGGUUUGUCAGUAUCUUCAGGCUCCCAGAGAUACUCAUUGGGCUGCUGUUAAACGCAUUCUUCGUUAUGUUCAGUUCACCCUGACAUUUGGUAUGCAUAUUCGGCCGACUUCCUCUCGGGUCCUUUCGGCCUUCUCUGAUGCAGAUUGGGCUGGUAGCCCAGAUGACAGGCGAUCCACGGGGGGUUAUGCAGUAUUCUUUGGCUCUAAUUUGAUCGCCUGGAGUGCUCGGAAACAGGCUACUGUGUCACGUAGCAGUACUGAAGCUGAGUACAAGGUUGUGGCUAAUGCUACUGCAGAGAUUAUUUGGGUGCAGUCUUUGCUUCAGGAGUUGGGUUUGUCUCAACCACAGCCUCCUAUUCUUUGGUGUGAUAACAUCGGUGCUACAUACCUUUCUGCAAAUCCAGUAUUUCAUGCCCGAACGAAACACGUUGAAGUUGACUAUCACUUUGUACGGGAACGUGUAUCGCAGAAGCAACUCCAGAUCAAGUUUAUCUCAUCUAAGGAUCAACUUGCAGACAUCUUCACUAAGCCUUUACCGCUGCCACAGUUUGAGGCUUGUAGGCGCAAUCUUACCCUUCUCAGUUCUUUAGAAAGUGGCUAA